Molecule: ribosomal RNA, 701 nt
Filed under: Exiguobacterium sp.
Lineage: Bacteria; Bacillati; Bacillota; Bacilli; Caryophanales
Description: bacterial SSU rRNA
Rfam family: Bacterial small subunit ribosomal RNA
Source: RNAcentral
CUUGCUAGUUGGAGCGCAGGAAUCGACGGAACCCUUCGGGGGGAAGUCGAUGGAAUGAGCGGCGGACGGGUGAGUAACACGUAAAGAACCUGCCCUCAGGUCUGGGAUAACCACGAGAAAUCGGGGCUAAUACCGGAUGGGUCAUCGGACCGCAUGGUCCGAGGAUGAAAGGCGCUUCGGCGUCGCCUGGGGAUGGCUUUGCGGUGCAUUAGCUAGUUGGUGGGGUAAUGGCCCACCAAGGCGACGAUGCAUAGCCGACCUGAGAGGGUGAUCGGCCACACUGGGACUGAGACACGGCCCAGACUCCUACGGGAGGCAGCAGUAGGGAAUCUUCCACAAUGGACGAAAGUCUGAUGGAGCAACGCCGCGUGAACGAUGAAGGCCUUCGGGUCGUAAAGUUCUGUUGUAAGGGAAGAACAAGUGCCGCAGGCAAUGGCGGCACCUUGACGGUACCUUGCGAGAAAGCCACGGCUAACUACGUGCCAGCAGCCGCGGUAAUACGUAGGUGGCAAGCGUUGUCCGGAAUUAUUGGGCGUAAAGCGCGCGCAGGCGGCCUCUUAAGUCUGAUGUGAAAGCCCCCGGCUCAACCGGGGAGGGCCAUUGGAAACUGGGAGGCUUGAGUAUAGGAGAGAAGAGUGGAAUUCCACGUGUAGCGGUGAAAUGCGUAGAGAUGUGGAGGAACACCAGUGGCGAAGGCGACU